Long non-coding RNA from Lepus europaeus (European hare), 537 nucleotides. RefSeq lists it as uncharacterized. The transcript has 3 exons. NCBI's taxonomy places the organism in Eukaryota, Metazoa, Chordata, Mammalia, Lagomorpha, Leporidae. The record is from RefSeq and is a predicted model, not a curated record.
AAUGGAAAACCCAGCAGCGCUCUUGUGACCCCGGUGACGGGGCCGACCCUCGCCUGAUCAGGGAAGCCUUCCAGGGGGCAGCAUGGCAAGGCUGUGGCUCCUGGAGGUGCUUAAGGCAGAAGGCACAGUGUGUACGAAGGUUCAGAGAGCGGUUGGCAUGGCGGCCCUCCCGGAAACUGAAAACAGCGCUUUCCCAGAGAUUACAGCGUGGGACUCGGGGGAAGAUGUGGCUCCAAGGACGCUGGUCUGAAUGUGGCCUUCGAGGCAGCACAAUCGGGAACAGUCAACACCCAGCGGGAGGGAGCGGAGGGCGGAGCUGUCCGGUCAUGCUGGGCACUUCUCUCCAGGGACACGCAAUGCUCUCUGCUGUGGCCUGGGAAAACAGUGGAGGAUGGCCCAAGAGCGUGGGCCCCUGCACCCGCGUGGGAGACCCGGAGGAAGCUCCCUGCUCCUGGCUUCGGAUUGGUGCAGCUCCAGCUGUUGUGGCCAUCUGGGGAGUGAACCAUCAGAUAGAAGAUUUUUCUCUCUCUGUCUCUG